RNAcentral lists this ribosomal RNA (207 nucleotides) under uncultured bacterium. RNAcentral describes it as "partial 16S ribosomal RNA". It matches the Rfam family "Bacterial small subunit ribosomal RNA", at positions 1294 to 1500 of the family's 1533-position model. The record is from RNAcentral.
CGGAUUGUAGUCUGCAACUCGACUACAUGAAGCUGGAAUCGCUAGUAAUCGCGGAUCAGAAUGCCGCGGUGAAUACGUUCCCGGGUCUUGUACACACCGCCCGUCACACCAUGGGAGUCGGAAAUGCCCGAAGUCUGUGACCGAACCGAAAGGAAGGAGCAGCCGAAGGCAGGUCGGAUGACUGGGGUGAAGUCGUAACAAGGUAAC